RNAcentral lists this long non-coding RNA (213 nucleotides) under Capsella rubella. RNAcentral's name for it is "long non-coding RNA (CRUB_LNC001613)". Lineage: Eukaryota; Viridiplantae; Streptophyta; Magnoliopsida; Brassicales; Brassicaceae. The record is from RNAcentral.
UUACGCUCAUGUGAGCUAGAAUUCAUAUGAACUAAAGAUUCACCAAGAGAACAAAAUGAAAAGCUAAACGAUGAUCAGAACUUGUGGUACAUCUUCAAUUUGAUAUGUAUCACUUAUCACUUACCAAUCCAAGAUACAAAAAAAACUCCAAUCCCUUACAUUGGAUAUUUGUCGAAGAGAUGUCCUAACUCUCUAACAAACCAUACACUUUGU